CCCAUUUCUCCCUAUCUCGCUUCCUGAAUCCUCUCUCUCUCCCCUAGGGUUUCUAUGGCGGACAGCGAUUUUGGUGGCGGAGGUCGAGCGCGGAGAAGACGUGCUGCUCGUCGCCGGAUGGCGAGAGCGCGCGGACGAAGGCUCGCUCGUUGGCGUAGGGCUGGCUGCGCGUUAGUGCGGCGAGCGCUGCAUCGGGGAGCGAGUCUACCGGUCGUGGGCGACGAGGUUGAUUUCGGCGGCGCAGGUCAAGAGCGGAGAAGACGUGCUGCUCGUCGACCGAAAUCGAGAGCGCGCUGAUGGUAGGCUCGCUCGUCGGCGGAGUUUCUAGCGCGUGGUACUGCUGAGAUCAGAGAUCCAGGCUACCGGACGGGCGUCGAGCCCUGCGUCAUUGUGCGCGGCACGGUGGGGACCAAUAAGGCAGAGGUCUAGUUGUGCGCGACGGCGGGGUGCGGGCUCAUGAAGAUCUCCGUGAAAUCUCCCGUUACAGAGGUAUUUCAUACUGCAAAUCUUCCGCAAUUACUUCCUAUUCAGUGUGUUGAGGUGCAAUACAUGGCCAUAUCCGCACUACUUUCGUCUAGAUCUAGCUACUGGUGACUAUGUCCCGUUCGUUUGUGUUUGUCCAUGACCCGUAGUACAUGUUCGAACCACAGGGAAGUACAUGUCCUGUAAAUGUUCAUGUCGAUAUAGCAAAUUCCUCUUUGAGGUAGUUGUAAUUUUUGGGCUAUUUUUGUUGUUGUUGUUAUGCAUAUGACUUGUGUAGCACAAAUAUGAUGGCUAAAUUGGUUAGAAAACAUAGCACUAGGGGUGUUCCAUUAGGUUAUCAGCAGCAAAUGCACUUUAAACUACAUACCUUUUUUUUGCAGGUACACUUUAAACUACAUACUAGUAUGGUUGCAAAGCAGCGGGGGAUGUCAUGCUUGCCACCCCACUUAGUAGAAAUUUGAACUAGUUCCAUUUGUUAAGUUCCUUAGUAUACUGGUUUGCAAAUUUCGAAUGGACUGUUAAUUUGGAUAGCUUUUUUUCAGUUAAACGUGAGUUGUACAAAUAUUUGCAAGUUCUUCUUUUUUAAGGUGCCCACUCAUGUUAUUGUAAGUCACCCUCAUACUCUAUAGAUAGGUUUUGUGGUUUUCUGAACUUGGCUUCGGAACAUGGUUAAGUUUUUCUCUGAACCUAGGUAAGUUGGCCUGCAAAAAUGUUCUAAUUCGUUUCCUGAAUCCAAGCCUUUUGGCUUCUCAGAUCAUGGUUAAGUCUUGUUUCCUGUAUAAAACUAAAGUUGGAUUCUGAACAUGUUUAAUUUGUUUACUGAAUCAAAGUGUUUUGUUUUAGCUGAACUUGGUUAAGUUUUGUUUUUCAUACACAAAAGUAAAGUUGGAUUCUCGGCAUGGUUAAUUUGUUUACUGAAUCAAAGUUUUUUGGCUUAGCUGAAUUUGGUUAAGUUUGUUUUAAAAUAAAGUUGCCUACAACUUCAUAUUAAGUUGCAUCGUGCCGAUUCCAUAGUUGAUUCCCAGGUUAUCAUUUUCAGUCUGUUAGCUUGUUUAGCUAUGGUAUGAGGAUUUUUUAUGUUAAAUACUGCAUCAGCAUUUGAUGCAGGAAACAAUGAAUAAGGUGAAUGACAGGCAGUCCCGACUGCGGUUACCACAGGCUGCUGAAGGAGGACAGUAAUUCUGUAUCGGGAUUUAUAGCAUAUGCUAUAUGUGCAGCUGAUGAGUCUCCGAGAGAUGCAAAUUGUCUACCUUCGGAAGAUGACAAGAAGGAACUAACCGUACCAAUUUCAUUUGGUGGAAGCUCUUUUCAUUCCUGUAUUUUAUCUCUGAGCUAAUGGAUCUGUCUACAGAUUUAUCAGGGUGUUCAGUGUUCAAUUGGCGGGGGGAAUCCUAAUCAUCUCAGACAUUUAGAUGCAUCACAGAUGAUCACUGAAAAUUUUUCAAGUUUCUGUAUCAAAGGGAAAACAUUACCGGUCUGUGGGCGUCAACGUGAGCAACAGGAAACGUUAUCCUACGACAGCACUAUGUACAAAAAAUAGGCAACCAUCGUCUUCUUUUUAUCUAUCUGCUAGUGUAAACUGUAGCUAAUUAAGAACAAUGGCUUAGUGUAUUUUGCAAAAUACCCGAGGUGUCGCAGCAAGUUACCUUUUCGUUUCAAGUUUCUUGUAGUCCAGUACCCGUAAUACUUUCGCCCACACAAAUAUCAAUGACCCUUAAAAUGUUCGAACCUGGGAAGUGUCUUGUUAA
Lolium rigidum is the source of this 2231-nucleotide long non-coding RNA. RefSeq lists it as uncharacterized. Lineage: Eukaryota; Viridiplantae; Streptophyta; Magnoliopsida; Poales; Poaceae. The record is from RefSeq and is a predicted model, not a curated record. The transcript has 3 exons.